Molecule: non-coding RNA, 472 nt
Organism: Saimiri boliviensis boliviensis (Bolivian squirrel monkey)
Lineage: Eukaryota; Metazoa; Chordata; Mammalia; Primates; Cebidae
Source: RefSeq, a predicted model, not a curated record
CCAGCUGAGGCUCCCAGGCCAGUCGGGGAAAAAGACCCAGCCCCAAACAGCAAGAACCCAGGGCGGUCAGGGCUAGGACAGGGGAUCCAGGGGUGGUGAGGUGGGCAGUCGCGCCUUCCCUGAUAAGGGGACCAGGGGAAGAAAGACUUCUGGGGGAAGACGCCAAGGUCAGUUUGGGACAAGAGCCCUGCCCAGCGAGGUCAGCCCAGGACACGGUGCUGGAGGAGCAAAUCAGGACAGGUGAGCACAGGUGUGGCCCCCUGCCCGGAAGCAGGCUGCUGAGGCCUCAGAGGAACCAGGACCCAGAAGCCAUCAGGAUGUGGGUGGUAAGAACACAGCUACCCGCAACUCUGGCGCCGCAGCCCCCACGGUUCCCCCUCAGCAGCGUCUCAGAGACACCUUCCUUGGUACCCUCCCUGCACCCCAAUUUAAAGUGGCAAACCGGGCCAGGGACAGUGGCUCACGCCUGCAA